Molecule: ribosomal RNA, 463 nt
Filed under: uncultured bacterium
Lineage: Bacteria
Description: partial 16S ribosomal RNA
Rfam family: Bacterial small subunit ribosomal RNA
Source: RNAcentral
GACGAACGCUGGCGGCGUGCUUAACACAUGCAAGUCGAACGGUGAACCUCUUCGGAGGGGAUUAGUGGCGAACGGGUGAGUAACACGUGGGCAACCUGCCCCCGGCUCUGGGAUAACUCCAAGAAAUUGGGGCUAAUACCGGAUGUUCACCGCUUCCCGCAUGGGUGGUGGUGGAAAGGGUUUCCGGCUGGGGAUGGGCCCGCGGCCUAUCAGCUUGUUGGUGGGGUAGUGGCCUACCAAGGCGACGACGGGUAGCCGGCCUGAGAGGGUGACCGGCCACACUGGGACUGAGACACGGCCCAGACUCCUACGGGAGGCAGCAGUGGGGAAUAUUGCGCAAUGGGCGGAAGCCUGACGCAGCGACGCCGCGUGGGGGAUGACGGCCUUCGGGUUGUAAACCUCUUUCAGCAGGGACGAAGCGCAAGUGACGGUACCUGCAGAAGAAGCACCGGCCAACUACGUG